UCCCGGCGCCACAAGUAGGGACCAGGGUUAUUGGGCCUAAAGCGUUCGUAGCAGGUCGUGUAAAUCUCUUGUGAAAUCGUUGGGCUUAACCUAACGGCGUGCAGGAGAGACUGUACGACUUGAGACCGGGAGGGGUUGAGAGUAUUCCUUGGGGAGCGGUAAAAUGCUAUAAUCCUUGGAAGACUACCUGUGGCGAAGGCGCUCAACCAGAACGGGUCUGACUGUGAGGGACGAAAGCCAGGGGA
This 245-nucleotide ribosomal RNA is filed under the name uncultured archaeon. RNAcentral describes it as "partial 16S ribosomal RNA". It matches the Rfam family "Archaeal small subunit ribosomal RNA", at positions 474 to 718 of the family's 1478-position model. The record is from RNAcentral.